RNAcentral lists this ribosomal RNA (774 nucleotides) under uncultured Neocallimastigales. Its description in RNAcentral is "partial large subunit ribosomal RNA". It matches the Rfam family "Eukaryotic large subunit ribosomal RNA", at positions 19 to 646 of the family's 3401-position model. The record is from RNAcentral. Lineage: Eukaryota; Fungi; Neocallimastigomycota; Neocallimastigomycetes; Neocallimastigales.
CGAGCACGCGCGUGUGGCAUAUCAAUAAGCGGAGGAAAAGAAACUAACAAGGAUUCCCUAGUAACGGCGAGUGAAGCGGGAAAGAGCUCAAAUUUGAAAUCUUAAAGGUUUCCCUUGACGAAUUGUAGUUGUAGAAGUGUUUUCUGUUAGUGGAGUGGCAAAAGCUCUUUGGAAUAGGACAUCAUAGAGGGUGAGAAUCCCGUAUUUGGUCAUUCCUCCUAGCGUUGUGAUACACUUUCAACGAGUCGGAUUGUUUGGGAAUGCAGUCCAAAAUGGGUGGUAAAUUUCAUCUAAAGCUAAAUAUUGGCGAGAGACCGAUAGCGAACAAGUACCGUGAGGGAAAGAUGAAAAGAACUUUGAAAAGAGAGUUAAACAGUACGUGAAAUUGUCAAAAGGGAAGCGUUUGACACCAGUGUUGUUUUUCCGAAAAUCAAUUACGAAUGUUUUGUUUUUGAGGAAGUUAUGACUUCAUCGGCUUGCUUCUUUCUUUACGAAACUUUCUUAAUGCACUUUUCGGUUAACAAGUCAACAUCAAUUUCUUUUGUUGUAAAAGGGUAUGAGGAAGGUGGCUUUCUUUUCGGAGAAAGUGUUUAUAGCCUUGUGCCUCUGCAAUCGGAGAGAUUGAGGUCUGCAGCGUAGAUCCUUCGGGGUUAGAUACACUUUGUGCUAAGUUAUAGCUUUUCAUAGACAACUUGUUGACUAUGUUUAGUCUUGUAGCUUACUCGCUGAUGCUAUUUUACCUACGCUUAGGAUGUUGAUGUGAUACUGCGAGCA